GAUGAACGUUGGCGGCGUGCCUAAUACAUGCAAGUCGAACGAAGACUGUAGUAAUACUGUCUUAGUGGCGAACGGGUGAGUGACGCGUGGGUGACCUGCCCCGAAGUGUGGGAUAACAGUCCGAAAGGAUUGCUAAUACUGCAUAAUAUCCAAGAGAUUAGAUGCUUUUGGAUUAAAGGAGUAAUUCGCUUCGGGAGGGGCCCGCGUCCCAUCAGCUAGUUGGUAAGGUAAUGGCUUACCAAGGCGAUGACGGGUAGGGGACCUGAGAGGGUGGCCCCCCACAAUGGAACUGAAACACGGUCCAUACACCUACGGGUGGCAGCAGUAGGGAAUAUUAGUAAUGGGCGAAAGCCUGAACUAGCAACGCCGCGUGUGCGAAGAAGGCCUUCGGGUCGUAAAGCACUUUUUGAGAGGAUGAGGAAGGACGGUACUCUCAGAAUAAGUCUCGGCUAACUACGUG
RNAcentral lists this ribosomal RNA (460 nucleotides) under uncultured bacterium. RNAcentral describes it as "bacterial SSU rRNA". It matches the Rfam family "Bacterial small subunit ribosomal RNA", at positions 28 to 507 of the family's 1533-position model. The record is from RNAcentral.